GGUCCUUGUCAUCUUAAUUUUUAUUCCAAUUCUCUUAGCCUUUUGGAGGAUUUUUUGUUAUUUAUCAAGAUCUUGUCUAGGCUAGAGAAGAAGAAUAAAGAGAAUUGGACAAGAUGAGCCUAUUGUAAGAAAGAAGGAAGAGUUUGGACUGAGCGAUGACUCCUCGACGUGCACCCCUAUUUAUAUUGCACGUAGGGGUGCAAACCAAGCAUCUCAUGCACACUCACACCUCAUAUCACACCUCCUCUCAAUUUCUCACACUCUAUUUGAUGAGAAAAAUCCAUGUGGACAUCAAAGUUGGGUUGAAGAGGCGCCUUAUUUUAGAAGGACUCUCCGAACUCAACUUACGGUG
Molecule: long non-coding RNA, 352 nt
Filed under: Elaeis guineensis (African oil palm)
Lineage: Eukaryota; Viridiplantae; Streptophyta; Magnoliopsida; Arecales; Arecaceae
Description: long non-coding RNA (EGUI_LNC071982)
Source: RNAcentral